GGAAAAUUAAAAGAUGGCAACUCUAGUGUUCUACUUGACUGCCGGCAACAAGAGAGAUAAACCAUCGAGAUUAGCUAAGGAAUAAUCUAAUUAUGCCCUUAAAAAGAAAAUAACAUUUGUAGAUAGAGAUUAAACUAAACUAGUCAAAAGUAAAACGAAAAGAGUAGAAAUUUCUCAAGUUACAAGAGGAAACGAAGGAAAGAUAAAAAAGAAAAGAAAAAAAAAAAAAAGGAAAAAUAAGUAUAUACGGUGAAUUUUCAUUUAACGUUGGACAUGGAGGGUGUGUGUAUCCAUGAUGGAGGAGAAGAGGGAUCCCGUUAGGACGACUCUCGAAAGCUUCAUAGAGGGAAAGGAUUUUCGUUUCGAAGUAGAAUGAAAUAUAAAGCUCGUCGUGGAACUGGACGUGUACGUAUGUGCGUGUGCGUAUAUGCCUGCCCUGUUCUGGGUGCCUGGCUGCGUAGGUGCACGCGCGCGCGCACUCGUGCAUGCGUGCGUAAACCAUAGGGUGGUGGUAGAGGAGGGUGAAAGGGAGGAAACAGAGGGACAGAGGAGACGCUUCGUAGACGUAAGCGAGAGAACGAACGGUAGAUGAUGAGGUAGAAGGAGGGUGAGAGAGACGCGAGGAAAACGAGGGCUGCCAGAAGGUACAGUGGAGAGGGGGUUGAAGAGCAGGGAGUAGGGAGAGGACUCUGCACCGCGACGCUACGGGGUGGUUGCCCUCGUCUGCGCUUUGUGGGAAAUGCCCGCUCAAUAACGCGUAGGUCCUCGUCUGCCCCUUCUCACCCUCGGAGUCAUCACGGCAAGGGCCACUGCCCCAAAAGGCACGGCUACACCCGUCGAUUUAUCCUACCUCCUUUCCUUCCUUUUCUUUUCUUUCCUUUCCUUUCCUUUUCUUUCCUUUCCUUCCAUCUUUUCCACCCUCAACUUUCUUUCCUUCUUCGACAGAGCUUUGACUGCUACCUACCUACUACUACCUAUUACCUAUCUAUCUACCUACCUACCUAUCUACCUACCUACCUCCCUCAGUCUUCGUUUAUCCGUUUCUAUCGAACAAAUCGCUCCCUCAAUGCGUUCGAAAAGGUCGUACCCUGCCCUUUCCCUUUCCCUUUCUCUCUUUUACUUGCUUGCUUGCUUUCUUUCUUUCCUUCCUUCCUUCCU
Polistes canadensis is the source of this 1158-nucleotide long non-coding RNA. RefSeq lists it as uncharacterized. The record is from RefSeq and is a predicted model, not a curated record. Lineage: Eukaryota; Metazoa; Arthropoda; Insecta; Hymenoptera; Vespidae. The transcript has 3 exons.